UCAGUUGGAACCACCCUGACGCCCUGGAU
This 29-nucleotide small RNA is filed under the name Bombyx mori (domestic silkworm). RNAcentral's name for it is "ovarian small RNA-7015". The record is from RNAcentral. Lineage: Eukaryota; Metazoa; Arthropoda; Insecta; Lepidoptera; Bombycidae.